RNAcentral lists this ribosomal RNA (404 nucleotides) under Fusobacteriota bacterium. RNAcentral describes it as "Fusobacteria bacterium partial 16S ribosomal RNA". It matches the Rfam family "Bacterial small subunit ribosomal RNA", at positions 355 to 776 of the family's 1533-position model. The record is from RNAcentral. Lineage: Bacteria; Fusobacteriati; Fusobacteriota.
UGGGGAAUAUUGCACAAUGGAGGGAACUCUGAUGCAGCGACGCCGCGUGAGUGAUGAAGGAAUUCGUUUCGUAAAACUCUGUUCUAUGGGAAGAAAAGGACUGUACCAUAGGAGAAAGCUCCGGCUAAAUACGUUCCAGCAGCCGCGGUAAUACGUAUGGAGCGAGCGUUGUCCGGAAUUAUUGGGCGUAAAGGGUGCGCAGGCGGCUUUACAAGUUGGAUGUGAAAUAUUGUGGCUCAACCACAAACGUGCAUCCAAAACUGCAAAGCUUGAGUUAAGGAGAGGUAAGUGGAAUUCCUGGUGUAGCGGUGGAAUGCGUAGAUAUCAGGAGGAAUACCGGUGGCGAAGGCGACUUACUGGGCUCAUUCUGACGCUGAGGAACGAAAGCGUGGGUAGCAAACAGG